UGAGGGAUAUUGGGCAAUGGGCGCAAGCCUGACCCAGCGACGCCGCGUGGGUGAAGAAGGUCUUCGGAUCGUAAAACCCUUUUCUGCGUGACGAGCAAGGACGGUAGCGCAGGAAGAAGUCUCGGCUAACUACGUGCCAGCAGCCGCGGUAAAACGUAGGAGGCAAGCGUUAUCCGGAGUUACUGGGCGUAAAGGGCGUGCAGGCGGCCUGAUAAGUUCGUUGUGAAAGCAUCUGGCUAAACCGGGUGAGGUCAAGGGAUACUGUCAGGCUGGAGGACGGUAGAGGCGGGUGGAAUUCCGGGUGUAGUGGUGAAAUGCGUAGAGAUCCGGAGGAACACCAGAGGCGAAGGCGACCCGCUGGGCCGUACCUGACGCUGAGACGCGACAGCAUGGGGAGCGAACGGG
Molecule: ribosomal RNA, 405 nt
Filed under: uncultured bacterium
Lineage: Bacteria
Description: bacterial SSU rRNA
Rfam family: Bacterial small subunit ribosomal RNA
Source: RNAcentral